RNAcentral lists this transfer RNA (75 nucleotides) under Bacteroidota bacterium. RNAcentral's name for it is "Bacteroidetes bacterium (groundwater metagenome) tRNA-Val". It matches the Rfam family "tRNA". From Rfam's summary of the family: Transfer RNA (tRNA) molecules are approximately 80 nucleotides in length. Their secondary structure includes four short double-helical elements and three loops (D, anti-codon, and T loops). Lineage: Bacteria; Pseudomonadati; Bacteroidota. The record is from RNAcentral.
GGGUACUUAGCUCAGUUGGUUCAGAGCGCUGCCCUUACAAGGCAGAAGUCACAGGUUCAAAUCCUGUAGUACCCA